Hemicordylus capensis (graceful crag lizard) is the source of this 1951-nucleotide long non-coding RNA. RefSeq lists it as uncharacterized. The transcript is spliced from 2 exons. NCBI's taxonomy places the organism in Eukaryota, Metazoa, Chordata, Lepidosauria, Squamata, Cordylidae. The record is from RefSeq and is a predicted model, not a curated record.
UAAGCUAAGCCCACUCUCCCCGCAGAGCCAGGUAAGGCACUCCACACUGUUUGUGUGGAGAGCCUCCCAAUGUUCAGUGUACUCCUCCAAAAGGAGUACCUUUUCAAGGAGGAACUUGCUUUUCUGUAAUUCAGCUUAGAAACAAAGCUAAGGUUGCCACUUUUCCGUUGGCCUCCAUAAAUGCUCCUAAGGGGUAUUUAUCUGCAACAAUUAGCAGGUAAUAAUGUUUACCUCUAUGCUGUGAAAAGCCUCACCUGCUGACUUCUGCAGAUCAAGCCAUUGGAAAAGGCAUUGCCAGCUACAAUCUUGGCUACUUUGAAUGGUGCACUCAUCCUUACUUUACCUGAGAAAUCAUAAGUAACUGCAAAAUUUCUUGGGCCUGAUCUGAAGGCAAGUGAUACAUACCUCCUUGCUGAAGCUAAGCAGCUCUAGGUCUGGUCAGUGCCUGACCGAGAGACCACCUGUAACCCUAUGCAUGCCAGUCUGAGUUUCAUGAAAGAAGAAAAGCAGGAUCUAAAUGCAAUAUACACCAGCGUCUCCCAGAAUCUUUCUGGGCAGAGGGGAGCAGGUAAGGGGAUUAGUAUCACAUAUUUAGACAUGGUCUGUACCCUUCCUAGGAUACUUGUCUGCAAUUCUCAUGCCUGAUCCUGGGAGUGUACUAGUAGCCGGUAGGAUCUGCCUGCCAUAGAGCCAGCGUGGUGUAGUGGUUAGAGUGCUGGACUAGGACCGGGGAGACCCAAGUUCAAAUCCCCAUUCAGCCAUGAAACUAGCUGGGUGACUCUGGGCCAGUCACUUCUCUCUCAGCCUAACCUACUUCACAGGGUUGUUGUGAAAGAGAAACUCAAGUGUGUAGUACACUGCUCUGGGCUCCUUGGAGAAAGAGCGGGAUAUAAAUGUAAUAAUAAUAAUAAUAAUAUACCUGUGGUUGUCCCUGUUCAUAGUCAUCAGGCUCAGACAGGGACAUUACAAUCAGGCUGUUGUGCAUUUCUGUAUUUUAGGGUUAGGACUGCAAGACAUUUCAGAUGUUCUAGAAUUCUAAUGCUGACACUGACGCGUAGGGCCUUGGGCAUGUCCCUUAGCACACUGAUCUACACAGAAAAAGAAUUUGGGGGAGACUACAAUUACUUAUCUCAUAAGACUGUUACGGGCAUUAAUUAGCUAGUUUGCAAAGCCCUUUGAACAUGAAAAGGCGAGAUGUUGUGUACAUUCUGUGCAUUAUUACAGUUAAUUAAAACACACCAUAAUUGCUCCUCACUGCUUCCUCUGACUUUGAUGUACUUUGUUUACUGUUGACUAGGGUUCCCUCCUCCCGCCUGGUUUGGUCUCAAAAUCAAAAGCAUUUCAAAUCAGGAAUCCUACUGCCAAGAUUAAUAUUCUCUCCCCCCACCCCCAACUUUGCAUAUUUGCUUCCUGGAGGAAACACAUUCACAGCUAAGUCUAAUGAUUACUGCUAUUGUCUCCUCAUUAGUAAGAAUGCAAAAGCUGAUGCUGUUCCUGAUAGGAAGGAACCGGCGCUUUCAGAAAUUGGCGCUACACCCAACCACCCCAAAGAGCUUCUGGGCUGGAGACUAAUUCUAACCUCCCCAAGAUUAACAUAGCUUCUGGAAUUUGGACAGAAAAAGAACACAUUGGAUCCUAUCCAAAGAGCCUUGAGAGGAAGGGAAAUAGUGAAGAGUGCUGUUUUGCAAAUACUUCCUCAAGGGCUUGCAAAAUGUCCGUGCGAUGCUACCAUGGGAGGUUCCACAGCAGUUCCCGCAUGUAAGAGAUUGCACAAACAGAAGAUCAUUUUUAGAUGUAGCUUCAUGUUUCAUGCCAAACAUUGUAGUGCAAGGUAUAAAACAGCCUUUCCAUGAACAGAAGAUGCCUUCUGCACAUGGAACAGAACUACUCGGCCUAACCUUUUGUCUUUUUCAUUGGGUUUGUUUAAACAUGAGAAUAAAUUGGGCAUAUA